Molecule: ribosomal RNA, 934 nt
Filed under: uncultured Lentimicrobium sp.
Lineage: Bacteria; Pseudomonadati; Bacteroidota; Bacteroidia; Bacteroidales; Lentimicrobiaceae
Description: bacterial SSU rRNA
Rfam family: Bacterial small subunit ribosomal RNA
Source: RNAcentral
GUUUGAUCCUGGCUCAGGAUGAACGCUAGCGGCAGGCUUAAUACAUGCAAGUCGAACGGGAUUCGGGGUAGCAAUACUUUGAUGAGAGUGGCGCACGGGUGCGUAACGCGUAUGCAACCUACCUUUAACAGGGGAAUAGCCCCGAGAAAUCGGGAUUAAUACUCCGUAACAUUGCGGUGUGGCAUCACACUGCACUUAAAGCUGAGGCGGUUAAAGAUGGGCAUGCGUGACAUUAGCUAGUUGGUGAGGUAACGGCUCACCAAGGCAACGAUGUCUAGGGGUCCUGAGAGGGUUAUCCCCCACACUGGUACUGAGACACGGACCAGACUCCUACGGGAGGCAGCAGUAAGGAAUAUUGGUCAAUGGGCGCAAGCCUGAACCAGCCAUGCCGCGUGCAGGAAGACGGCCCUAUGGGUUGUAAACUGCUUUUGUCAGGGAAUAAACCCCCGCUCGUGAGCGGGGCUGAAGGUACCUGAAGAAUAAGCAUCGGCUAACUCCGUGCCAGCAGCCGCGGUAAUACGGAGGAUGCAAGCGUUAUCCGGAUUCAUUGGGUUUAAAGGGUGCGCAGGCGGAUUGGUAAGUCAGGGGUGAAAUCCCACAGCUCAACUGUGGAACUGCCUUUGAUACUGUCAGUCUAGAGUAUAGUUGAAGUUGGCGGAAUGUGUCAUGUAGCGGUGAAAUGCUUAGAUAUGACACAGAACACCGAUCGCGAAGGCAGCUAGCUAAGCUAUAACUGACGCUCAUGCACGAAAGCGUGGGGAUCAAACAGGAUUAGAUACCCUGGUAGUCCACGCUGUAAACGAUGAUUACUCGAUGUUGGCGAUACACAGUCAGCGUCUGAGCGAAAGCAAUAAGUAAUCCACCUGGGGAGUACGAUCGCAAGAUUGAAACUCAAAGGAAUUGACGGGGGCCCGCACAAGCGGAGGAGCAUGUG